GACAGAGGGGGCAAGCGUUGCUCGGAAUUACUGGGCGUAAAGGGCGCGCAGGCGGUCUUCCAAGUCAGUGGUGAAAGCCCGGAGCUCAAAUCCGGAACUGCCAUUGAAACUGUUAGACUUGAGGAUGAGAGAGGUGAGUGGAAUUCCCAGUGUAGAGGUGAAAUUCGUAGAUAUUGAGAAGAACACCGGUGGCGAAGGCGGCUCACUGGCUCAUUACUGACGCUCAGGCGCGAUAGCGUGGGGAUCAAACAGG
This 253-nucleotide ribosomal RNA is filed under the name uncultured bacterium. RNAcentral's name for it is "partial 16S ribosomal RNA". It matches the Rfam family "Bacterial small subunit ribosomal RNA", at positions 524 to 776 of the family's 1533-position model. The record is from RNAcentral.